RNAcentral lists this ribosomal RNA (403 nucleotides) under uncultured bacterium. Its description in RNAcentral is "bacterial SSU rRNA". It matches the Rfam family "Bacterial small subunit ribosomal RNA", at positions 128 to 518 of the family's 1533-position model. The record is from RNAcentral.
GCCCCCCGGCCCGGGAUAGCCCAGGGAAACCUGGAUUAAUACCGGAUGAGACGGGACCCGCGAAGGCGGGACCCGGGAAAGGCGCUGCGGCGCCGCCGGGGGAUGAGUCUGCGUCCCAUUAGCUAGACGGCGGGGUAACGGCCCACCGUGGCGACGAUGGGUAGCCGGCCUGAGAGGGUGGACGGCCACAUUGGAACUGAGACACGGUCCAGACUCCUACGGGAGGCAGCAGCUAAGAAUCUUCCGCAAUGGGCGAAGGCCUGACGGAGCGACGCCGCGUGAACGAAGAAGGCCGUGAGGUUGUAAAGUUCUUUUCGGGAGGGGGAACAACCGUGGCAGGGAAUGGCCGCGGGAUGACGUGAAUCCCGGAAUAAGCCCCGGCUAACUACGUGCCAGCAGCAGC